ACCUAACAAAUUUUAUCAAACACAAUGGAAGAAAAAUAUUUAAGAGUUUUGAGCCCAAUCAGACUUUAGUCUUCUUUGCAAACGUUUUCGAAAUCAUUUUGCAUGAUUGAAUCACCAUAUUUAAGAGUUAUUUCGACGCGAAACAAAAGCCAUUUUGACUAGAAAAUUAUAAAAAGAUUGUAAAGUUUUCAUAUGCUAAUUUAUAUUGAGUAAUAAAUAUGAAUUAUUUUGCAAGUACAGGAAAAAACAGAAUAUGUAUAGGUACUGCAUUGGCAGCUUUUCUUUUGUACUUUUAUCAUCUUCCAAUGAUAAUCUAUCAAGUAUUCAUCUGUACGAUUUCUGAAAAAAAUUCUAUACAAUCAUUUUGCAUGAUUGAAUCACCAUAUUUAAGAGUUAUUUCGACGCGAAACAAAAGCCAUUUUGACUAGAAAAUUAUAAAAAAAUUGUAAAGUUUUCAUAUGCUAAUUUAUAUUGAGUAAUAAAUAUGAAUUAUUUUGCAAGUACAGGAAAAAAACAGAAUAUGUAUAGGUACUGCAUUGGCAGCUUUUCUUUUGUACUUUUAUCAUCUUCCAAUGAUAGUCUAUCAAGUAUUCAUCUGUAUGAUUUCUGAAAAAAAUUCUAUAUCAGUAGCAUUCUUCAAU
RNAcentral lists this long non-coding RNA (641 nucleotides) under Olea europaea (common olive). RNAcentral's name for it is "long non-coding RNA (OEUR_LNC008295)". The record is from RNAcentral. Lineage: Eukaryota; Viridiplantae; Streptophyta; Magnoliopsida; Lamiales; Oleaceae.